CAUGGCUCAGAGUGACGCUGGCGGCGUGCUUAACACAUGCAAGUCGAACGAGAACGGAUUAUAGCUUGCUAUAAUUGUCAGCUAAGUGGCGCACGGGUGAGUAAUGUAUAGGUAAUAUGCCUCUUACUAAGGGAUAACAAAUGGAAACGUUUGCUAAUACCUUAUACUCCUUAUUAACAGAAGUUAAUAAGGGAAAGAUUUAUUGGUAAGAGAUUAGCCUGUAUUGUAUCAGUUAGUUGGUGGGGUAAUGGCUUACCAAGACUAUGACACAUAACUGGUUUGAGAGGAUGAUCAGUCACACUGGAACUGAGACACGGUCCAGACUCCUACGGGAGGCAGCAGUGGGGAAUAUUGCACAAUGGACGGAAGUCUGAUGCAGCAACGCCGCGUGGAGGAUGACACAUUUCGGUGCGUAAACUCCUUUUAUAUGAGAAGAUAAUGACGGUAUUAUAUGAAUAAGCACCGGCUAACUCCGUG
RNAcentral lists this ribosomal RNA (477 nucleotides) under uncultured bacterium. Its description in RNAcentral is "bacterial SSU rRNA". It matches the Rfam family "Bacterial small subunit ribosomal RNA", at positions 18 to 507 of the family's 1533-position model. The record is from RNAcentral.